RNAcentral lists this ribosomal RNA (424 nucleotides) under uncultured bacterium. RNAcentral's name for it is "SSU rRNA". It matches the Rfam family "Bacterial small subunit ribosomal RNA", at positions 369 to 808 of the family's 1533-position model. The record is from RNAcentral.
CAAUGGAGGAACUCUGAAUGCAGCGAUGCCGCGUGAGGGAAGAAGGUUUUAGGAUUGUAAACCUCUGUCUUCAGGGNACGAAAAAAGACGGUACCUGAGGAGGAAGCUCCGGCUAACUACGUGCCAGCAGCCGCGGUAAUACGUAGGGAGCGAGCGUUGUCCGGAAUUACUGGGUGUAAAGGGAGCGUAGGCGGGAUCGCAAGUCAGAUGUGAAAACUAUGGGCUUAACCCAUAAACUGCAUUUGAAACUGUGGUUCUUGAGUGAAGUAGAGGUAAGCGGAAUUCCUAGUGUAGCGGUGAAAUGCGUAGAUAUUAGGAGGAACAUCAGUGGCGAAGGCGGCUUACUGGGCUUUAACUGACGCUGAGGCUCGAAAGCGUGGGGAGCAAACAGGAUUAGAUACCCUGGUAGUCCAAGGGCGAAUUC